GACGAACGCUGGCGGCGUGCUUAACACAUGCAAGUCGAACGGAAAGGCCCUGCUUUUGUGGGGUGCUCGAGUGGCGAACGGGUGAGUAGCACGUGAGUAACCUGCCCUUGACUUUGGGAUAACUUCAGGAAACUGGGGCUAAUACCGGAUAGGAGCUCCUGCUGCAUGGUGGGGGUUGGAAAGUUUCGGCGGUUGGGGAUGGACUCGCGGCUUAUCAGCUUGUUGGUGGGGUAGUGGCUUACCAAGGCUUUGACGGGUAGCCGGCCUGAGAGGGUGACCGGCCACAUUGGGACUGAGAUACGGCCCAGACUCCUACGGGAGGCAGCAGUGGGGAAUAUUGCACAAUGGGCGGAAGCCUGAUGCAGCAACGCCGCGUGCGGGAUGACGGCCUUCGGGUUGUAAACCGCUUUCGCCUGUGACGAAGCGUGAGUGACGGUAAUGGGUAAAGAAGCACCGGCUAACUACGUGCCAGCAGCCGCGGUGAUACGUAGGGUGCGAGCGUUGUCCGGAUUUAUUGGGCGUAAAGGGCUCGUAGGUGGUUGAUCGCGUCGGAAGUGUAAUCUUGGGGCUUAACCCUGAGCGUGCUUUCGAUACGGGUUGACUUGAGGAAGGUAGGGGAGAAUGGAAUUCCUGGUGGAGCGGUGGAAUGCGCAGAUAUCAGGAGGAACACCAGUGGCGAAGGCGGUUCUCUGGGCCUUUCCUGACGCUGAGGAGCGAAAGCGUGGGGAGCGAACAGGCUUAGAUACCCUGGUAGUCCACGCUGUAAACGGUGGGUACUAGGUGUGGGGUCCAUUCCACGGGUUCCGUGCCGUAGCUAACGCUUUAAGUACCCCGCCUGGGGAGUACGGCCGCAAGGCUAAAACUCAAAGGAAUUGACGGGGCCCCGCACAAGCGGCGGAGCAUGCGGAUUAAUUCGAUGCAACGCGUAGAACCUUACCUGGGUUUGACAUGGAUCGGGAGUGCUCAGAGAUGGGUGUGCCUCUUUUGGGGUCGGUUCACAGGUGGUGCAUGGCUGUCGUCAGCUCGUGUCGUGAGAUGUUGGGUUAAGUCCCGCAACGAGCGCAACCCUUGUUCACUGUUGCCAGCACGUUAUGGUGGGGACUCAGUGGAGACCGCCGGGGUCAACUCGGAGGAAGGUGGGGAUGACGUCAAGUCAUCAUGCCCCUUGUGUCCAGGGCUUCACGCAUGCUACAAUGGCUGGUACAGAGAGUGGCGAGCCUGUGAGGGUGAGCGAAUCUCGGAAAGCCGGUCUCAGUUCGGAUUGGGGUCUGCAACUCGACCUCAUGAAGUCGGAGUCGCUAGUAAUCGCAGAUCAGCAACGCUGCGGUGAAUACGUUCCCGGG
Molecule: ribosomal RNA, 1343 nt
Filed under: uncultured bacterium
Lineage: Bacteria
Description: 16S ribosomal RNA
Rfam family: Bacterial small subunit ribosomal RNA
Source: RNAcentral